GCCGGUAUAGCUCAGUGGAUAGAGUGUCAGCCUUCUGGACUGAAGGGUCCCAGGUUUGAUUCCAGCUAAGGGCA
Molecule: transfer RNA, 74 nt
Filed under: Myotis davidii
Lineage: Eukaryota; Metazoa; Chordata; Mammalia; Chiroptera; Vespertilionidae
Rfam family: tRNA
About the family: Transfer RNA (tRNA) molecules are approximately 80 nucleotides in length. Their secondary structure includes four short double-helical elements and three loops (D, anti-codon, and T loops). Further hydrogen bonds mediate the characteristic L-shaped molecular structure. tRNAs have two regions of fundamental functional importance: the anti-codon, which is responsible for specific mRNA codon recognition, and the 3' end, to which the tRNAs corresponding amino acid is attached (by aminoacyl-tRNA synthetases). tRNAs cope with the degeneracy of the genetic code in two manners: having more than one tRNA (with a specific anti-codon) for a particular amino acid; and 'wobble' base-pairing, i.e. permitting non-standard base-pairing at the 3rd anti-codon position.
Source: Rfam by way of RNAcentral